Molecule: ribosomal RNA, 451 nt
Filed under: uncultured bacterium
Lineage: Bacteria
Description: partial 16S ribosomal RNA
Rfam family: Bacterial small subunit ribosomal RNA
Source: RNAcentral
AACGAACGCUGGCGGCAGGCUUAACACAUGCAAGUCGAACGGGUGCAGCAAUGCAUCAGUGGCAGACGGGUGAGUAACACGUGGGAACCUUCCUAGGGGUACGGAACAACUCAGGGAAACUUGAGCUAAUACCGUAUACGUCCGUGAGGAGAAAGAUUUAUCGCCCUUAGACGGGCCCGCGUCGGAUUAGCUAGUUGGUGGGGUAACGGCCUACCAAGGCGACGAUCCGUAGCUGAUCUUAGAGGAUGAUCAGCCACACUGGGACUGAGACACGGCCCAGACUCCUACGGGAGGCAGCAGUGGGGAAUCUUGGACAAUGGGCGCAAGCCUGAUCCAGCCAUGCCGCGUGAGUGAAGAAGGUCUUCGGAUUGUAAAGCUCUUUUGCCAGGGACGAUAAUGACGGUACCUGGAGAAUAAGCCCCGGCAAACUUCGUGCCAGCCGCCGCGGUAA